GGGGGUGUAGCUCAGUGGUAGAGCGUUCGCUUUGCAUGCGAGAGGUACUGGGAUCGAUACCCUGCAUCUCCA
Cherax quadricarinatus is the source of this 72-nucleotide non-coding RNA. The record is from the annotation of a RefSeq genome assembly. NCBI's taxonomy places the organism in Eukaryota, Metazoa, Arthropoda, Malacostraca, Decapoda, Parastacidae.